This 324-nucleotide ribosomal RNA is filed under the name uncultured bacterium. RNAcentral describes it as "bacterial SSU rRNA". It matches the Rfam family "Bacterial small subunit ribosomal RNA", at positions 28 to 334 of the family's 1533-position model. The record is from RNAcentral.
GACGAACGCUGGCGGCGUGCUUAACACAUGCAAGUCGAACGGAGCACCUUUGAAAGAGACUUCGGUCAAUGGAUGAGACUGCUUAGUGGCGGACGGGUGAGUAACGCGCGAGGAACCUGCCUUUCAGAGGGGGACAACAGUUGGAAACGACUGCUAAUACCGCAUGAUGCAUGAUCAGGGCAUCCUGGACAUGCCAAAGAUUUAUCGCUUCAGGAUGGACUCGCGUCCAAUUAGCUAGUUGGUGAGGUAACGGCCCACCAAGGCGACGAUCGGUAGCCGGACUGAGAGGUUGGCCGGCCACAUUGGGACUGAGACACGGCCCAG